RNAcentral lists this ribosomal RNA (498 nucleotides) under uncultured bacterium. Its description in RNAcentral is "partial 16S ribosomal RNA". It matches the Rfam family "Bacterial small subunit ribosomal RNA", at positions 899 to 1397 of the family's 1533-position model. The record is from RNAcentral.
ACUCAAAGGAAUAGACGGGGACCCGCACAAGCGGUGGAUUAUGUGGAUUAAUUCGAUGCAACGCGAAAAACCUUACCUACCCUUGACAUGUACCGAACCUCCCGGAGAUGGGAGGGUGCCCGAAAGGGAGCGGUAACACAGGUGCUGCAUGGCUGUCGUCAGCUCGUGUCGUGAGAUGUUGGGUUAAGUCCCGCAACGAGCGCAACCCUUGUCAUUAGUUGCUACAUUUAGUUGGGCACUCUAAUGAGACUGCCGGUGACAAACCGGAGGAAGGUGGGGAUGACGUCAAGUCCUCAUGGCCCUUAUGGGUAGGGCCUCACACGUAAUACAAUGGACGGUACAGAGGGCAGCCAACCCGCGAGGGGGAGCGAAUCUCAGAAAGCCGUUCGUAGUCCGGAUUGUUCUCUGCAACUCGAGAGCAUGAAGUCGGAAUCGCUAGUAAUCGCGGAUCAGCAUGUCGCGGUGAAUACGUUCCCGGGUCUUGUACACACCGCCCGU